Molecule: long non-coding RNA, 700 nt
Organism: Oncorhynchus tshawytscha (Chinook salmon)
Lineage: Eukaryota; Metazoa; Chordata; Actinopteri; Salmoniformes; Salmonidae
Source: Ensembl
AGGCUUCUGCCUUUGGAGUGUCUGAGUGGGACAGAGAGAUGGUAGUGUGGUGGUAGACAGAGAGAUGGUAGUGUGGUGGUAGACAGAGAGAUGGUAGUGUGGUGAUGGACAGAGAGAUGGUAGUGUGGUGGUAGACAGAGAGAUGGUAGUGUGGUGGUAGACAGAGAGAUGGUAGUGUGGUGGUAGACAGAGAGAUGGUAGUGUGGUGGUAGAUAGAGAGAUGGUAGUGUGGUGGUAGACAGAGAGAUGGUAGUGUGGUGAUGGACAGAGAGAUGGUAGUGUGGUGGUAGACAGAGAGGUGGUAGUGUGGUGGUAGACAGAGAGAUGGUAGUGUGGUGGUAGACAGAGAGAUGGUAGUGUGGUGGUAGACAAAGAGGUGGUAGUGUGGUGGUGGACAGAGAGAUGGUAGUGUGGUGGUAGACAGAGAUAUGGUAGUGUGGUGGUAGACAGAGAGAUGGUAGUGUGGUGGUAGACAGAGAGAUGGUAGUGUGGUGGUGGACAGAGAGAUGGUAGUGUGGUGGUAGACAGAGAUAUGGUAGUGUAUGUGAGGGGGUAAAGGCCGGGAGAGGAUACUGUUAUUAUACAGAGAGGACGCAGCGUGUCAGGGAGCAUUACACACAAGUACACACACAUAAUGCUAAUACACACACAGUCACAAACACACACGCUAAUACACACACGUCGUGUCACUGUACAUCAC